This is a long non-coding RNA of Loxodonta africana (African savanna elephant), 549 nucleotides long. RefSeq lists it as uncharacterized. NCBI's taxonomy places the organism in Eukaryota, Metazoa, Chordata, Mammalia, Proboscidea, Elephantidae. The transcript is spliced from 2 exons. The record is from RefSeq and is a predicted model, not a curated record.
CCGGCACGGACGGGGGCUCCCAACCAACCGCCCCCCCCGUGACGUCCACCGGUUCCCGCCGCUCGGCCCCCGGGCCGCAGCGGCCAUCACCACACGCACUCACGUGUUUUCUCGAAGAAAAAGACCGAAACUGCCCGAGAGGAGGCUUUUAUCUCACGCCAGGUGUCGCGAGAUCUCUCCUGCCCGCCCGAACCCGAGCGGCCCCAGGGCCUCGACAUCCGUCUGUGAUUGGCUCCACGACGCACAGCACGCAAGAUCUAGGUGCGCCUGCGCUUACGUCUGCGCUCGCUCCAGAGCCGAGGCUGGAAGGCGCAGGCGGGUGCUGGCACGUGAGGACUUGGUGAUGCGGCUAUAAAUGUUAGGCCUGCCGCUACUCCUGCCUUGAGCCUCGUUCUUUCUCGCCUAGCGCUGGUACCUGCGGCCUGGUAGAUCUGCGACUCUCGUUUGUCGAGGUCCCUGAUGCCUGAACCUGCAUGCGACGCCGCCGGAACUGCGAGGGGAGGGAGGGCUGGUUCUUUCCUUCUCAAAUAAAGCUGUUUGUUUAGGGGA